AGCCAAUGAACAUGGGUGCAUACUCAUUUAUUGCGCCUCGCCUAUUCACUACAAUGAAGCAUCUGGGGAGGGGCGCUUUUGAGGACAUCAAGUAUGUUGGAAGGGCACCAUCUGCUUCCACAGCCACUGGUUUCCAUUUUGUUCAUGUGAAAGAACACACCGAGCUUCUCCAGAAGGCAAUGCAGCCCGAACCAAUCAACUACCCUUUCUGAAACAUCUGUAUCAGCUACCAUACUUUUCUAAAGAAAUAAGCGUACUGUUUCUUUAAUUUUGUUUUGCAUGUAGUGGGUUAGUAUCAACCCACAGGUUGUU
This 312-nucleotide unclassified non-coding RNA is filed under the name Hevea brasiliensis (rubber tree). The record is from RNAcentral. Lineage: Eukaryota; Viridiplantae; Streptophyta; Magnoliopsida; Malpighiales; Euphorbiaceae.